AGUGAAUAGAUACCCCGGUAGUCCAGGGUGUAAACGCUGCGGGCUUGGUGUUGGGGGUCCUUAGUGGGCGCCCAGUGCCGGAGAGAAAGUUGUUAAGCCUGCUGCUUGGGGAGUAUGUCCGCAAGGAUGAAACUUAAAGGAAUUGGCGGGGGAGCACCGCAACGGGAGGAGCGUGCGGUUCAAUUGGAUUCAACGCCGAAAAACUCACCGGGAGCGACGGAUAUAUGAAGGUCAAGCUGAUGACUUUACCUGAUUUUCCGAGAGGUGGUGCAUGGCCGUCGUCAGUUCGUACCGUAAAGGCGUUCUCUUAAGUGAGAUAACGAACGAGACCCUCACCAUUAAUUGCUAGUCUCUUCUCCGGAGGAGGCGCACAUUAAUGGGACCGCUGGCGCUAAGUCAGAGGAAGGAGAGGUCAACGGUAGGUCCGUAUG
RNAcentral lists this ribosomal RNA (431 nucleotides) under uncultured bacterium. RNAcentral describes it as "bacterial SSU rRNA". It matches the Rfam family "Archaeal small subunit ribosomal RNA", at positions 724 to 1153 of the family's 1478-position model. The record is from RNAcentral.